AUCCUCGAUCUGCUGAGGACAGAUGAAGUGGAUAUGCGCGUCGAACCCGCCGGGGGUGAGAAUGCGGCCCUCUCCGGCGAUGAUCUCGGUUCCCGGUCCGAUGACGAUAUCGACGCCCGAUUGCGUGUCGGGGUUGCCCGCCUUGCCGAUGGCGGCAAUGAGACCAUCGCGCAGACCGACAUCGGCCUUGGUGAUCCCCUGAUGAUCGACGAUCAGCGCAUUGGUGAUGACGGUGUCCAUGGACCCACCCGCACGCGAGGUCUGGCUCUGCCCCAUGCCGUCGCGGAU
Molecule: non-coding RNA, 288 nt
Organism: Roseovarius mucosus DSM 17069
Lineage: Bacteria; Pseudomonadati; Pseudomonadota; Alphaproteobacteria; Rhodobacterales; Roseobacteraceae
Source: Rfam